RNAcentral lists this unclassified non-coding RNA (211 nucleotides) under uncultured Trechisporales. Its description in RNAcentral is "sequence contains ITS1". Lineage: Eukaryota; Fungi; Basidiomycota; Agaricomycetes; Trechisporales. The record is from RNAcentral.
AUGAAACAAACCGGGGGCGGCGGGGCGCGGCCUCGCACCGGCGGAGACGCCGUUGUGCGGGCUCGUCCCUCCCCCUCAUCCACAACCCAACACACCUGUGCACCAUAGGGACGGCGGGUGGAUAACGCACGCCGUCUCGCUUUAACAAGCUCAAAAGUCUAUUUUGAAUGUCAUUUUAUUCGGGCUAACCCCGAUGUAACUUAAACAUAAA